UCCUCCCCAAGCCGGUGGCCUCCCCCUUCCUUCCUUCCCUCCCUUCAGCCUCGCUUGCCUGCUCCGCUCAGUUCUGCCCAUGACGAGCCCCUCAAAUCCACCCUGCGCGGUGUCUGCCCUCCCUGCUCCUCUUCCCAGAGAACUAAUCCAGGCAAGCAGCUUCUAAAUCGUGAAGCACCUGGGCACCUCCUUCCAGCCACGCCGCGCCUUGGUCCGCGCGCAUCUCCAUGGCGAGCGCUGCUGGUCGGAGUUCGCAGACCCCGGCGCAGGUGCCAUUCCUGCAGCGGCACCAUCAACCUGCGCCGACUCAUCCCCAACACCCGGCUGCCGUCAGCAACCUGCAGUAAAUGGCUCUCGUCCACCCCCUCUAGCACGCCUGCAACUUGUUCGACGAUACGCCUCAACCAGGAGCUGCAACCACGACCGUGCUGAGCUGCUGUCUUCUACCUCUUCACCAAGCUGCAUCAACCCCGCCGCCCAAGGAGCAGCGUCGUGGAGUUCUCAUGGUGUGCUGAUGCUCCUCCCCGGCGCACAGCCACACGGCACACGCAACAAGCAGCAGAUUCCGCUACAGAGUGGUGUACAAGCUCGUGGAUGUGAAGCAAGCGUAGCCGCGAAGCCCAGCAGAGAAUCCAAAAGACCCAGCUCAAGGUUCGGAACGGCCCAAGGCCUUGAUUGUACUAACAUCGAGCAGUUGAAAAGCAAGCCCCGGAGCAUAACUUUUAUUUUCAAAACUAUGCAAUGUUUUUAUUUAAGUAUUGUGCAUUUAGAUUUUCAGGAGUUGAAUAAAACCAUAGAUGCAUGGUCCAUAGGUUCCCAUGGUUAUACUAGCAUGUGUAGGUCGUUAGCAUGGCUCGGAGCAUAACCUUCAUUUUCAAAACUAUGCAAUGUUUUUAUUUAA
This is a long non-coding RNA of Setaria italica (foxtail millet), 901 nucleotides long. RefSeq lists it as uncharacterized. The transcript is spliced from 2 exons. The record is from RefSeq and is a predicted model, not a curated record. NCBI's taxonomy places the organism in Eukaryota, Viridiplantae, Streptophyta, Magnoliopsida, Poales, Poaceae.